GACGAACGCUGGCGGCGUGCUUAACACAUGCAAGUCGAACGGAAAGGCCCUGCUUUUGUGGGGUGCUCGAGUGGCGAACGGGUGAGUAACACGUGAGUAACCUGCCCUUGACUUUGGGAUAACUUCAGGAAACUGGGGCUAAUACCGGAUAGGAGCUCCUGCUGCACGGUGGGGGUUGGAAAGUUUCGGCGGUUGGGGAUGGACUCGCGGCUUAUCAGCUUGUUGGUGGGGUAGUGGCUUACCAAGGCUUUGACGGGUAGCCGGCCUGCGAGGGUGACCGGCCACAUUGGGACUGAGAUACGGCCCAGACUCCUACGGGAGGCAGCAGUGGGGAAUAUUGCACGAUGGGCGGAAGCCUGAUGCAGCAACGCCGCGUGCGGGAUGACGGCCUUCGGGUUGUAAACCGCUUUCGCCUGUGACGAAGCGUGAGUGACGGUAAUGGGUAAAGAAGCACCGGCUAACUACGUG
This 468-nucleotide ribosomal RNA is filed under the name uncultured bacterium. RNAcentral describes it as "partial 16S ribosomal RNA". It matches the Rfam family "Bacterial small subunit ribosomal RNA", at positions 28 to 507 of the family's 1533-position model. The record is from RNAcentral.